RNAcentral lists this ribosomal RNA (497 nucleotides) under uncultured bacterium. RNAcentral describes it as "partial 16S ribosomal RNA". It matches the Rfam family "Bacterial small subunit ribosomal RNA", at positions 28 to 507 of the family's 1533-position model. The record is from RNAcentral.
GACGAACGCUGGCGGCGUGCCUAAUACAUGCAAGUUGAGCGCUGAAGGUUGGUACUUGUACCGACUGGAUGAGCAGCGAACGGGUGAGUAACGCGUGGGGAAUCUGCCUUUGAGCGGGGGACAACAUUUGGAAACGAAUGCUAAUACCGCAUAAAAACUUUAAACACAAGUUUUAAGUUUGAAAGAUGCAAUUGCAUCACUCAAAGAUGAUCCCGCGUUGUAUUAGCUAGUUGGUGAGGUAAAGGCUCACCAAGGCGAUGAUACAUAGCCGACCUGAGAGGGUGAUCGGCCACAUUGGGACUGAGAAACGGCCCAAACUCCUACGGGAGGCAGCAGUAGGGAAUCUUCGGCAAUGGACGAAAGUCUGACCGAGCAACGCCGCGGGAGUGAAGAAGGGUUUCGGAUCGUAAAACUCUGUUGGUAGAGAAGAACGUUGGUGAGAGUGGAAAGCUCAUCAAGUGACGGUAACUACCCAGAAAGGGACGGCUAACUACGUG